UACGUAGGGGGCAAGCGUUAUCCGGAUUCACUGGGUGUAAAGGGAGCGUAGACGGCCAUGCAAGCCUGGAGUGAAAGCCCGGGGCCCAACCCCGGGACUGCUCUGGGAACUGUGCGGCUGGAGUGCGGGAGGGGCAGGCGGAAUUCCUGGUGUAGCGGUGAAAUGCGUAGAUAUCAGGAGGAACACCGGUGGCGAAAGCGGCUCUCUGGCCUGUAACUGACACUGAGGCUCGAAAGCGUGGGGAGCAAACAGG
RNAcentral lists this ribosomal RNA (253 nucleotides) under uncultured bacterium. RNAcentral describes it as "partial 16S ribosomal RNA". It matches the Rfam family "Bacterial small subunit ribosomal RNA", at positions 524 to 776 of the family's 1533-position model. The record is from RNAcentral.